This 323-nucleotide long non-coding RNA is filed under the name Pan troglodytes (chimpanzee). RNAcentral describes it as "long non-coding RNA NONPTRT017420". The record is from RNAcentral. Lineage: Eukaryota; Metazoa; Chordata; Mammalia; Primates; Hominidae.
UUGAAACCAGUAUAAGGAAGCUGUCAAAUACCGUGUACUCUAAAACUUAGACAGAAUCCCAGAUAAGGUCUUGAUGGAAGAAGAGACAUAGAUGUUACAAGAACUUUAACCAAAGCCUGGUCCUGGUACCACUCGACCUGGCACUCAGAAACCUUCCUGGGGUGCACUGAGUGUGCAAAUGCCUUUCCCAGGAUUUGUGUGUUCAUGUGCGUAUAUUUAUAAUAUGGGUAUUUAUAGAUAUAUAUAGCCUGUGUACUGCUUAAAGGAAUUUAUCCUAACAAAUAAUUAAAAGAGGAGGUUUUUCUGCAUAAAGAUGUUGAUCA